This 498-nucleotide ribosomal RNA is filed under the name uncultured bacterium. Its description in RNAcentral is "partial 16S ribosomal RNA". It matches the Rfam family "Bacterial small subunit ribosomal RNA", at positions 28 to 507 of the family's 1533-position model. The record is from RNAcentral.
GACGAACGCUGGCGGCGUGCCUAAUACAUGCAAGUCGAGCGGACGAAUCGAAAGCUCGCUUUUGAUUCGUUAGCGGCGGACGGGUGAGUAACACGUGGGCAACCUGCCCUGUAGACGGGGAUAACACCGAGAAAUCGGUGCUAAUACCGGAUAACACGAAAUGUCGCAUGACGUUUCGUUGAAAGACGGCGCAAGCUGUCGCUACAGGAUGGGCCCGCGGCGCAUUAGCUAGUUGGUGAGGUAACGGCUCACCAAGGCGACGAUGCGUAGCCGACCUGAGAGGGUGAUCGGCCACACUGGGACUGAGACACGGCCCAGACUCCUACGGGAGGCAGCAGUAGGGAAUCUUCCGCAAUGGACGAAAGUCUGACGGAGCAACGCCGCGUGAGCGAAGAAGGCCUUCGGGUCGUAAAGCUCUGUUGUUAGGGAAGAACAAGUAACGCAGUAACUGGCGUUACCGUGACGGUACCUAACGAGAAAGCCACGGCUAACUACGUG